UUUUUUUUUUUUUUGGUCACAAUGUACUGAUAACUGACAAAUAAAACUUAAUGUCACGUUAUCAUGAUGCAAAUAAAGAUAUACCGUAUACUUAGAUAAAUGUCACACUUGAGACAUUGUCUAUCAUCUCUCACCACUAGCUGGCACCAUAGCUUUAAAAAUGUAGUGAUGUAUCGGGUUUAUAUCUUACUAAUUAACAAGCCAGCUACCCAAUUUUUAACAGAAAACAAUUACUCAAAGCAAACAAGAAAUAUUUGGGGCUAUAAACUAAAAUGAGUCUGAAAGCAAUAUUCUCAAUGAUGACUGGUACGAUACAUCCUGCAAAGGGAAAUGGAUAAUAGUUAACAGACUCAGGGGGUGUUUUUAUUACAUGAAAAUAAACGGUACUGUGCACAAAUGGGAGAGUCUGAUAUUUUUGCUGCUGGCUGGGAGACCGUAGGGGUCAAUAUCUUGGGUUAUGAAGAGGAUGAACCCCAAUAAACUGCCUCCCUUACUGGGCUUUUCAUUCCAAAUUAACUCAGAGGCCACUUCAGGUUCACUCCCAAAGAAGCAGCUUUAUUGCACCAGCCAAUAAAUUUCACAGAGUCUGUCUCCUUCACUGGCUUCCCUUUUCUCAUUAGAGCCUGCUGCUUUCAUUGUCUGCUGGCUGGAUACAGAUGCCCUAAGAGGCAGGGCCCUGGUUUCCAUUCUCUGACUGCAGUGGUUCUAACAUUGCAAUCUACUUCACUGCCAUGUUCUGCUCCAAUUCUUUCAGACCAGCUGCUGUGGGCUGACCCGACACAUGCACUGCGACAUGAACGCACGCAUCCAGGCCCACACAAAGGUCAAAGCAGGGACUACAGGCCACUCAUUUACCACUCAGCCUCAGAAAAAGCCAAAAGAAUUUCACGCAACUGUUCCAAACUGUCUAUGAUAUUUACAUUUAUUUACAGGUUGGACCGAUAAACGGUCACCUAAUAUCAAUAACAGAGCAUUGAUAAGUUACAAAUAUGUAAUUUUUAUGGCAAAUCUCUCAGUUUUGCUCUGAAUAGAAGAAAUACUUCCAUAAUGUAACAAAAUCUUUCCAAAAAGGAAACAAACAUUUUCUACUAUGGUACAGGUUCUGUGCAGCUGUUAAUCAAAUCAAAACUCACUGUGAAAGUUAGGAUAUACUGGCAAGUACAUCAGUAUCGGUAAUGGCAGUCACCUGAAGAGAACCCUGCUAUUCUGACCUUGGAAUGAUUAAACAGGAUAGGUCAUAAAGUUACAUGUAUUCAUUUUACAAUCCUCCAUAGGACCAGAAAGAAGAGAAUGUACAUUUUGAAGAAGAGUGUGCAAAUUCUGCAGUCAGUACAGUAAAAUAGGUAGUUGAUAGUGCUUUCCCAAUAACAACCACAAAAAAACUAUCACACAUUAACUUAUACUGUUAGCUAUGUAGGAAAAGAAGCAUUAUAAUUCUUACUCUAAAUAGGUCUCGUCCUGCAUAAUUCUAUAAUGACAUUUUUGUCCUACCUAACAGAGAAAUGCAGAACUUUGUCUACAUCUUCAUUAUGAUCUACAGUGGCCAGAUUCUGCCCUAAGCAUACUCCAGCAGCACUGCCAGGCUGGUCUGCAGCCUGCUGUAAGCACUGCAGCUCCAUGCAGCUGAAGAGCAGGCAAGAGGCAGCUCCCACCCCCAGUGCUGAGCAGAGUGCAGAUGCAGACUGCACUCGUGUUUCCACGGUAAUACUGACGUCAUGGCAGUGCUGCUGUCUAAAAUGACACAAUCAGUUCUAACAGAUUGACUCUGGAUGGGUUUGAGUUAAUAAACACAAUUGUAACAUACAUUCAAACUGGUAUGACACAAAUACUAAUCUAACAAAAGAAAAAGAAAAACAAUCAAACAAAAGACUGGAAAGAAAGAGAAGAAAUCCACCUAUAACAAAUUCUUUCUACAUGAUGUUUUAAUGAAUUUCAUUCUUCACUGAUAGAGAUAUUUUUUGUUUUGCAAAGACUUACUCCAAAACUAAUUUUAUCUUGGAAGAAAAAAUAUAAUCUCAUAUUUCUGUUUGGCAAGUAACACUUGCAAAGUUCCUUCUGUAGCCAAACGUUUUGAGUCUUUGUAUUGUGUAACAAAAACUGUCAAUAAACAACAAAUUAGUUCUCCCUAUUUUUUUACAAAGUCAUUGAAGUUGACACCUUUUUGCCAUAUACGCUCCACAGGAUAAACACUGCCAAUGCCAACUAAUCCUAAUGUUAGGAAUGUGAUGGGUUUGCCAUUUUCCGAAGUUAUUUUGAGUUCAUUUUGGUAGUGUUGAAAAUAGUCCGCAGGGCAGCCCCUUGUAACUGAGUCAAUUCCACAGAAUUUAGGCCAGGAGGCAAUGGGGACAGAGGAUCAUAAAUUGGAGAAAACCUCGCCUUAGUGAAUGCAGCAGCCUGAAGAAGCCUGUAACGGCUGCAGUAUAAUAAAGAAGUGUUAGAGUUAAUCCACUGCUAUCUGUCUUUAUUUUGCUAACCCAGUCGAGUGGACACCACAGCAUUGAGACUACAUUAAUCAAAAUUUGGAAUGACCUGCUUUUCAUUGCAAACUGCAGUUAUCUUUCUUUACUGAUUGGCCUUGACCUGUCAGCUGCAUUUGGUACUGCUGACCCUAGGGGUUCUCUCCAAGAGCCUAGAGUACUACGAAAGGUUGUCUGACUCUGUUCUUGCUCAGUUUAAUUCAUAUUCUACUCAACAUGCCCAUUUUAUUUCCAGUAGAAAUUGUUCAUUUAAUUGCAUUGUAAGUUUUAUGGGGUAUGCCCCAGGCUGCAUUCUUUAUGCCAAGCUUCUGAGUAUUUAUAUGUGGAAUGGUGGGGGGCAGGGGGAACGACUCACUCACAAAGCUAGACCAGGCUUCAUAUUAGCAGUAAUUUUCACUGCUUUAAAUUCUCUACAAAGCUGUUUGCAGAAGAAAACAAAAUGUAUAUAUCAUCACUUGAGGUUGCUUUGACAAAUGCAUUGUUUUUAACUGAAUACUUUCAAGACAGGUUCAUCCUCCUUUGAGCAAUUUAGCAACCUUUCUUAAAUGCCCAUUUAUAUUAUGCUGGUAAGAAACCUAUCUUACAACUUUGUAUCUAACCAACCUCAAAGGUCAUUGCAUUCAGCCUUUGUACUACAAACCCAAAGAGUUCUUACUCAAUAAUUCAGUAUAUUUUCAAAUAAUACUAUUUUAGUGAUGUCAAAUGUAUUUAAUGUCUUCCCUUGCAAAAGGGGUUCAGGUUUGAUAUCCCCAAUCCUGAUUCCUCCCGAAGAAAUAAAGAAAUGGUGUAGUAUUGCAUAUAUCUACCUUCUUUGGGGUGUUUGCCAAAACACAAGACUUUAAAUCUGAUACUGCUUAAUCUAUUCAAUUACCUGAUCUAUGUAUUAGGAAAUGGUUUCAAAUAUUAUGCCAUCCAAAACCCACCACUGUUAUUAGUGAAAGGCAAAUUGUACUCUUACAAGUAAGAUUUAGUUUGCCACUGUCAAAAUUAAGAGAAAUAUUAUAUGACUUAGCAAUGUAAUAUCAAACUAACCACAUAGGUUAAAUUAAAUCUUUGUUCAUCUUGAAUAAAAAGAUUACUUCAACAAAUAGGAUUGAAGUUAUGCUUCAAAAUGUUUUAAUUUGCUAUAGAAAAGAUAUACUAAUCAGUAGCAUCAUUUUUAUGAAGCUGAAAAAUUUAGGUCCAUAAUUCAGGAAUAAUCUGGAUACCGGUAAUCUAAUAAUUUUUUUAAAAGAAUGAUUCCUUCUUUCCCAAGGACCAGCUACAGGGGAAUGUUGUGCAAUUAUAAUCAUUACUUAUUAAUAUUUAAUUAAAUUUACUUUGUGUUAUAUCAGCCAUCUUAUUUUAAAACAAAAAGUAGAGACUGAAAAAAAACAUUAAUUAUAAAUCUAAAAAUAAAAUUAUCAUAAAUUUAAAAUUUUUUACAACAUAUUUUUUUCAAAAUAGAUGAUUGCAAUAAAAAUGGAAGGGAAUCAAGACAGAAAAACAAAAGGAAGAUACAAAAAGAGCAAGGCUGCAGUUCAAUCAUGAGUAAAAACAAAGUAAAAGACAAUGUCUAUCAAGAGAUCCGAAAACAAACCUGGAAACAAAACACCUGCAGAUGGUGAAAAAACGCAGCUUGGAAUUAAAAUUUUGUGAACCUGGACAUAUGACUAGAAAAGUAAAUGAAACCCUUGGUAGAAAUCUUUUAGUCUAUCAAUAUAAAUAGAUUUGAGCAAACUCUGGAUGGACUCUGCUGUUCAUUCUACUAUUCUUUGAUCUGAUUUUUUAUUCAUUCUAACUGAAUUAAUACCAAUUACCUUAUCUGUAAGUACAGUCACAUAGAAGUCCAUAGUCUGAAAUUCACAAAGCACUUACAGAGCAAGACAAAGGGGUUUAUGCAUUUCCAUAACUUGCUCCAAUUAAGUUCAUCAAGACCAUUCUUUCUGGUAUAAUUUUCCUCUGCUAUCUGUUAUUUUUAAGAACAACAGGAAAAUAAAGAAACAAAAUAACAUAUUCUUUGUGAUUAACUAGGAGCCAAUUACUUUCUUCCUUGCCAUGCCUUACCUUGACUUUCUUUCCCUGAACAAAUACUGUUGAGAAGUAAUUGCUAGGGCAGUAUUGCCAAACUAAUAAAGCAAACUGCAUUAAUAAUAUUCAGCUUAAAUACAAUUGUAGCAAACAUAUUACAAAAAAGGAAAAACAUACACACUUUCCACUUUUGAUGAAUGCCACAAAUUAUUCAUAACAACAUGUGGCACCAGAAUAGAAAUGAGCCAACAGCUGCAGAGAUUGAAGUCAUUUGCACAAUGCCUGUUGUCUGGUACCUCCCCUGCUGGAAGUUACCAUCUUCAGAACACAGUGAGGAGAGGGGAGUGUGGGCCUACACUUCAGCUGCUCCCAUUCACAGUCGAAUAUGUUAAAUCAUGGAGUGCAGGAGUCAAUUACAAUAGAAGUCAUAACCAAUCUGCCAGUAGUAAAAAAACAAACAGGCAAACCCUCAAAAAAAACCCCAAACAAACAAAAAACACCCCCACACCCAAAAAAUAUUCAAACUCAGCACUAUGAAAGCAGCAUUUUGCCAAAUUUUAUUAGAAACAUAGAUUCCAGCCACUGGAAAUAACAAUAAACCAUUAUAUAUUAGUUGAAUUUUUCAAAAUAUUCAUAAUUCUAUGUGUAUACUGUGUGUAUUUAUAACCCAAUUUCUCUCAGAAUGGUUAAAAUGCAGGUAGUUCUCUUCCUAUGUCAUCUCACCUAGACUGUGAACUUAGAAGGCUGCAGUCCUAGAGCAUUAUCUAGCAAAUUUCCUAUCAGUUCCUAGCAGUCCUUAGUGAGAGCAGGAACAUUCACAGAGCUGUCAGAAGAGAAGUUGUGAUCAGGAGACUGUCAGGAAGGUUUGAGACAAUUUUGGCAAGUCUGAGGAGACCUUCAGCUCUGGUGGGUGUCAUUCAGUGGUAAAUAAUUGGGUUCUGCCACACUAAUACAAUUUCUGUAAGGCAGGCAACAAAGCAGCACGGCCCCUGCUAUGAGGAACCGAAGGUUUAUUGGAGGUUAUCAAGCUGAGAUAAUAUUUAGCAGCAAAUAGUGGGGACAAGUGUGCUCCAAAAGAGACUCCAUUUUAUACCAAAGUAUUUCUUUCUCCUCAAUACCUUCCAGCAAGAAUUAAUUCAACAACAAUUGUUUUGGUCCAGUAAUCAUCUUUCAUUAGAGAAAAGAAGCUUGCUACUGCAUAUCUGUAUAGAAGUCUUUCUAGAACAGACAAAAAUUUAUGUUUUAUAUUUACUGGAAUACCACUAAAAUAAAACCCUAAUAAUGGGAUGAAACUUGCAAAGACAUUUUUCAGCUUACAUACUGCAAAUUAUCUCAGCAUCCUAAGACUAAAAUGCAUGUAAACCACUUGGAAACAUACGAACUUGGAACCUCAGAAACUGACUUGACUUCACAGGAGAAAAGAACAAACAAACCAAAAAAAAAAAAAAAAAAAAA
This is a long non-coding RNA of Taeniopygia guttata (zebra finch), 5942 nucleotides long. The record is from Ensembl. NCBI's taxonomy places the organism in Eukaryota, Metazoa, Chordata, Aves, Passeriformes, Estrildidae.